GACGAACGCUGGCGGCAUGCCUAAUACAUGCAAGUAGAACGCACAGUUUAUACCGUAGCUUGCUACACCAUAGACUGUGAGUUGCGAACGGGUGAGUAACGCGUAGGUAACCUGCCUGGUAGCGGGGGAUAACUAUUGGAAACGAUAGCUAAUACCGCAUAAUAUUGAUUAUUGCAUGAUAAUUAAUUGAAAGGUGCAAUUGCACCACUACCAGAUGGACCUGCGUUGUAUUAGCUAGUAGGUGAGGUAACGGCUCACCUAGGCGACGAUACAUAGCCGACCUGAGAGGGUGAUCGGCCACACUGGGACUGAGACACGGCCCAGACUCCUACGGGAGGCAGCAGUAGGGAAUCUUCGGCAAUGGACGAAAGUCUGACCGAGCAACGCCGCGUGAGUGAAGAAGGUUGUCGGAUCGUAAAGCUCUGUUGUAAGAGAAGAACGGGUGUGAGAGUGGAAAGUUCACACUGUGACGGUAUCUGACCAGAAAGGGACGGCUAACUACGUG
Molecule: ribosomal RNA, 505 nt
Filed under: uncultured bacterium
Lineage: Bacteria
Description: partial 16S ribosomal RNA
Rfam family: Bacterial small subunit ribosomal RNA
Source: RNAcentral